UUACGAUUAAUUUUUUUGAAUUAAUCGCCUGAGUUAACUGUGAUUAAUCGACAGCCCUCAUAUUAACCUCCCUCUGUUUCUAUAACAGGCAAUGAAAUAUUCAGACUCUGUAAUAAUUCCUAGAAAGGUUACUGUCAGGAUUUUCAGCAUCACAGAUCCAGAAUGCCUCCUCCUGCAGGAAAACUUGUGUCAGAAGGCCCAAAGGGAGAGAAAAAAAAUCAGCCAGGGGAUUUUCAUGGAUUCUUCCUUGAACUGCUCCUACUUGUUUAAAGGUCUUUGUGGACGAUGGAUAGUGGAGUUUCCCACCCUGUUAUUGGAUUUCCUGUGGAUCGUUGGGUAUGUGUGAGGAAGAGAGCCCCCUUCGCACAUAGAAGCCAUCCUGGAGGGAUAGCUGCUGCUGCUCUGUUGCAUCCCAUACCCCCAAUGGCACAACUUAUCAAUUGACAGAGUCCACAUACAGCUAUAUAGUAGUAAAAAUGUAGGAUACCUGAGGUGAGAAUAAAAUCUCACAUGUUUUGCACUGAAA
Molecule: long non-coding RNA, 526 nt
Organism: Gopherus evgoodei (Goodes thornscrub tortoise)
Lineage: Eukaryota; Metazoa; Chordata; Testudines; Testudinidae
Exons: 2
Source: RefSeq, a predicted model, not a curated record